GUACUUUCGGACAAGCCUGGGAAACUGGGUCUAAUACCGAAUACACCCUGCUGGUUGCAUGACCUGGUGGGGGAAAGCUUUUGCGGUGUGGGAUGGGCCCGCGGCCUAUCAGCUUGUUGGUGAGGUUACGGCUCACCAAGGCGACGACGGGUAGCCGGCCUGAGAGGGUGACCGGCCACACUGGGACUGAGAUACGGCCCAGACUCCUACGGGAGGCAGCAGUGGGGAAUAUUGCACAAUGGGCGCAAGCCUGAUGCAGCGACGCCGCGUGGGGGAUGACGGCCUUCGGGUUGUAAACCUCUUUCAGUAGGGACGAAGCGCAAGUGACGGUACCUACAGAAGAAGGACCGGCCAACUACGUGCCAGCAGCCGCGGUAAUUCAAA
RNAcentral lists this ribosomal RNA (384 nucleotides) under Mycobacterium sp. CT-11. RNAcentral's name for it is "bacterial SSU rRNA". It matches the Rfam family "Bacterial small subunit ribosomal RNA", at positions 133 to 529 of the family's 1533-position model. Lineage: Bacteria; Bacillati; Actinomycetota; Actinomycetes; Mycobacteriales; Mycobacteriaceae. The record is from RNAcentral.